This 583-nucleotide long non-coding RNA is filed under the name Phascolarctos cinereus (koala). RNAcentral's name for it is "lncRNA (ENSPCIG00000026200.2)". The record is from RNAcentral. Lineage: Eukaryota; Metazoa; Chordata; Mammalia; Diprotodontia; Phascolarctidae.
GGAGCUAUUGUCACCAGGGAAUAAUUUCCAGAGCUCUUUCUAGGCUUACAAGGUGCUGAAUGAGAAGUUUUAGUGGAAAGACACAGAAUUAGGUUUUUGGAGUCUGAAGUCACAAGUUUUAAUUCCGGCUUUACUUCUUACUACUUUAGGGGUUUGGACAAUUCCUUCUCCUCUCUGAGUCUCAGUUUCCUGAGUUAUAAAGAGAUUGAACUUGAUUUCUGCUAUAAAUAUUUUGGAAACCCCAAGUGGGGUCACGGAGAGUCAGACACGACUGAACUUCGUGCUUGCAGGUCCGAGAUGACCAUCACCCCGAGCUGCCACCUCCGAGGAGGCUUAGAAACAGACCUGUGGCAGCAGAGGGCUGCGAGAGGGGCUGUGGGAACGGCAGCCUGGGUUCCAGGAAGCACCAGAUUCCUAGAGGAGGAGGCUCACAGAUGGGCCAAGUAAAUAGACCUAGACAACAGAGGGACACACUUGGGAACCUGUGUGCCAUUUUUGAUCAGACACGGCCAUGUGGCGGAGCGGGUGCAGGGACAAAACAGGUCUGAUCAUCUCUCCAAAAUGCCCCACCCAGGCUAGCACU